This 513-nucleotide long non-coding RNA is filed under the name Homo sapiens (human). RNAcentral's name for it is "non-protein coding lnc-FCGR1A-1:1". Lineage: Eukaryota; Metazoa; Chordata; Mammalia; Primates; Hominidae. The record is from RNAcentral.
AGGGAACACGGUGUUUGGUUUUAUAAAUUCCAUUUUGGUGGAAUAGGAAGGAAUUUCUGGCUUAUCUUGAUCAUCAUGAGGACGGAGAAACUCAAACUAUGUGUUUCCUGUGCUUUCACACUACAACAAUCAACACAGAAGACUGACGGCGGAGGGGGGUUCUCCAUACAGCAAGCAAGCAAUCAGUUCUGCAGUGGACACCAGCUGAGUGUACUCCAAUUCAAUUUUUACACUAUUUAUCAGGAGAUCCCACAGGUUGAGGACUGAGUCUACCAGACUGCCCCCACUUCAAAUGCCAGUUCCAAGUCUGGGCCUCCAGAACUUCUGACCAACCAUUUCCAAGCUGGGGUUCCCAUGGCUUCCUCCUUUGCAUUGUAUUAAUUUGCUAGAGCAGUUCAUGAAACUCAGAGAAACACUUGGGUUUACUGGUUUAUAACAAAAAAUACAGAUGAAAAGAUGCAUAAGGUAAAGUAUGGGGGAAGGAGCAUGGAGCUUCCAUGCACCUCCACUGGG